AGUGCCACAGAACUAUCUGGGCCUCUUCCUCUAUCCUUCCUUGUGUGAUCGCUCCUUUCAAAAGCAACAGCCAAAGCAGAUGUAAGGGAAAUGCAUUGGUGCUCAUAAAUUCAAGGAGCUGAAAUGGCAACAGCUGUGGCAAUUUCAGGAUUUCAGCAGGUAAUCAAAUGGGUCAAAAUCAAAGUUGAUGAUCAGUCAUAUGAUCUCCAGCAGCCCUGGAAGGGUGUGAGUUCUCGGCGUCCCAUGCAGGACCUCUGAAUAUACAGAGGUGCUGAAGGGGGAGCAUGCGUCAAAUGCCAGUGCCUUCUUUCUGUGUCCAAGCAAGUUAUGAUUGGAAUGGAAAGUAUAGCCACCCGGGGCUGUCAGUACCCCUAACCUACUCAAUUGCAGACAUGUUGAUACAGAACAUGAUCAUCGAAUUCCGGUGAAGCCACAGUGAUGGGAGUCCAGCAAGAGUGAAAGCAAGUAGAAGGAAGAAGCCCAGAAAAACCAAAGUGCCUAAGGGCCAUGAAAGCUGUAAUGACUCCUUACCAUGAAGUUCUCUCUCCUGAUACCAUGUGAAGAAG
This 566-nucleotide long non-coding RNA is filed under the name Pongo abelii (Sumatran orangutan). RNAcentral's name for it is "lincRNA". Lineage: Eukaryota; Metazoa; Chordata; Mammalia; Primates; Hominidae. The record is from RNAcentral.